GACGAACGCUGGCGGCGUGCUUAACACAUGCAAGUCGAACGGAAAGGCCCUGCUUUUGUGGGGUGCUCGAGUGGCGAACGGGUGAGUAACACGUGAGUAACCUUCCCUUGACUUUGGGAUAACUUCAGGAAACUGGGGCUAAUACCUGAUAGGAGCUCCUGCUGCAUGGUGGGGGUUGGAAAGUUUCGGCUGUUGGGGAUGGACUGGCGGCUUAUCAGCUUGUUGGUGGGGUAGUGGCUUACCAAGGCUUUGACGGGUAGCCGGCCUGAGAGGGUGACCGGCCACAUUGGGACUGAGAUACGGCCCAGAGUCCUACGGGAGGCAGCAGUGGGGAAGAUUGCACAAUGGGCGGAAGCCUGAUGCAGCAACGCCGCGUGCGGGAUGACGGCCUUCGGGUUGUAAACCGCUUUCGCCUGUGACGAAGCGUGAGUGACGGUAAUGGGUAAAGAAGCACCGGCUAACUACGUG
RNAcentral lists this ribosomal RNA (468 nucleotides) under uncultured bacterium. RNAcentral describes it as "partial 16S ribosomal RNA". It matches the Rfam family "Bacterial small subunit ribosomal RNA", at positions 28 to 507 of the family's 1533-position model. The record is from RNAcentral.